AGAUUGAACGCUAGCGGGAUGCUUUACACAUGCAAGUCGAACGGCAGCGCGGACUUCGGUCUGGCGGCGAGUGGCGAACGGGUGAGUAACUAUAUCGGAACGUGCCCAGUAGCGGGGGAUAACUACGCGAAAGCGUGGCUAAAUACCGACAUACGCCCUACGGGGGAAAGGGGGGGAUCGCAAGACCUCUCACUAUUGGAGCGGCCGAUAUCAGAUUAGCUAGUUGGUGAGGUAAAGGCUCACCAAGGCGACGAUCUGUAGCUGGUUUGAGAGGACGACCAGCCACACUGGGACUGAGACACGGCCCAGACUCCGUACGGGAGCAGCAGUCGGGGUAAUUUUGGAACAAGUGGGGGAAACCCUGGACUCCGAGUC
This 375-nucleotide ribosomal RNA is filed under the name uncultured soil bacterium. Its description in RNAcentral is "bacterial SSU rRNA". It matches the Rfam family "Bacterial small subunit ribosomal RNA", at positions 26 to 396 of the family's 1533-position model. The record is from RNAcentral.